RNAcentral lists this ribosomal RNA (549 nucleotides) under uncultured Glomeromycotina. RNAcentral describes it as "SSU rRNA". It matches the Rfam family "Eukaryotic small subunit ribosomal RNA", at positions 548 to 1098 of the family's 1831-position model. Lineage: Eukaryota; Fungi; Glomeromycota. The record is from RNAcentral.
UUGGAGGGCAAGUCUGGUGCCAGCAGCCGCGGUAAUUCCAGCUCCAAUAGCGUAUAUUAAAGUUGUUGCAGUUAAAAAGCUCGUAGUUGAAUUUCGGGAUCAAUUUAUCGGUCGUGCCUACGGUAUGAACUGGUACAAUUGGUUUCUCCCUUCUGACGAAGCAUGAUGUCAUUAAUUUGGUGUCGUGGGGAAUCAGGACUGUUACUUUGAAAAAAUUAGAGUGUUUAAAGCAAGCAUUAGCUUGAAUACAUUAGCAUGGAAUAAUGAAAUAGGACGUUUGAUCCUAUUUCGUUGGUUUCUAGGAUCGACGUAAUGAUUAAUAGGGAUAGUUGGGGGCAUUAGUAUUCAAUUGUCAGAGGUGAAAUUCUUGGAUUUAUUGAAGACUAACUACUGCGAAAGCAUUUGCCAAGGAUGUUUUCAUUAAUCAAGAACGAAAGUUAGGGGAUCGAAGACGAUCAGAUACCGUCGUAGUCUUAACCAUAAACUAUGCCGACUAGGGAUCGGAUGAUGUUAAUUUUAUAAUGACUCAUUCGGCGCCUUACGGGAAAC